RNAcentral lists this long non-coding RNA (788 nucleotides) under Coturnix japonica (Japanese quail). RNAcentral's name for it is "lncRNA (ENSCJPG00005002854.1)". The record is from RNAcentral. Lineage: Eukaryota; Metazoa; Chordata; Aves; Galliformes; Phasianidae.
GCUAUGGGGCAGUUAUGGGGUCUAUGGGGUGGAUGUGGGGGGCUAUGGGGCAGUUAUGGGGUGGCUGUGGGGGCCAUGGGGCCUAUGGGGCAGAUAUGGAGGGCUAUGGGAUGGCUAUGGGUGUCUAUGGGGCAGAUACGGAGGGCUAUGGGAUGGCUAUGGGGCACCUAUAGGGCAGAUAUAGGGCAGCUAUGGGGCGGCUGUAGGGGCCAUGGGGGCCUAUGGGGCAGAUAUGGAGGGCUGUGGGGCAGGUAUGGAGGGCUAUGGGAUGGGUAUGGGGGGCUAUGGGAUGGGUAUGGGGGGCUAUGGGAUGGCUAUGGGGCAGCUAUGGGUCAUCUCUAGGUGAUGUCUAUGUGACCCAUCACUGAGUGCAGCAGACCAUGGCCGCAUCGUUGAGGCCGGUGUCAUCCUGUGACCGUUGCGGUGCCUCCACCCUGGUCCUGAUGCCGCAGAUCCCCACAUGUGUGGGGCACGGCUGGCUCCAAUUGCCCCAUUGCCCCCGAGCUCCGCCCCCCCCGUCCAACACGGUCCCGUCCGAGCACAUGAACGACGCGUCGUUGGCCGCUGUGUCGUCCCGGAACCCGCCGCGAGGGGGCUCCACCCGCAACCGGAACGACGUGAGGCGGGACGAGCGGGGGCAGCCGCGGGCGGGGAGCCAGGAACCCCAGCUAUGGGGGGAAGGGAGUUAGGGGGCUAUAGGGACACAUAGGGACCCAUAGAGACCCCAUAAGGACAUAUAGGGACACCCACCCCAUAGAGACCCCAUAGAGACCCAUAGGGACACAUAG